RNAcentral lists this ribosomal RNA (791 nucleotides) under uncultured archaeon. RNAcentral describes it as "bacterial SSU rRNA". It matches the Rfam family "Archaeal small subunit ribosomal RNA", at positions 85 to 879 of the family's 1478-position model. The record is from RNAcentral.
ACUGCUCAGUAACACGUAGUCAACAUGCCCAGGGGACGUGGAUAACCUCGGGAAACUGAGGAUAAACCGCGAUAAGUCAUUACUUCUGGAAUGGGUAAUGAUUAAAAUCUACAUGGCCCCUGGAUUGGACUGCGGCCGAUCAGGCUGUUGGUGAGGUAAUGGCCCACCAAACCUGUAACCGGUACGGGCUCUGAGAGGAGGAGCCCGGAGAUGGGCACUGAGACAAGGGCCCAGGCCCUAUGGGGCGCAGCAGGCGCGAAACCUCUGCAAUAGGCGAAAGCCUGACAGGGUUACUCUGAGUGAUUUCCGUUAAGGAGAUCUUUUGGCACCUCUAAAAAUGGUGCAGAAUAAGGGGUGGGCAAGUCUGGUGUCAGCCGCCGCGGUAAUACCAGCACCCCGAGUGGUCGGGACGUUUAUUGGGCCUAAAGCAUCCGUAGCCGGUUCUACAAGUCCUCCGUUAAAUCCACCUGCUUAACAGAUGGGCUGCGGAAGAUACUAUAGAGCUAGGAGGCGGGAGAGGCAAGCGGUACUCGAUGGGUAGGGGUAAAAUCCGUUGAUCCAUUGAAGACCACCAGUGGCGAAGGCGGCUUGCCAGAACGCGCUCGACGGUGAGGGAUGAAAGCUGGGGGAGCAAACCGGAUUAGAUACCCGGGUAGUCCCAGCUGUAAACGAUGCAGACUCGGUGAUGAGUUGGCUUCUUGCCAACUCAGUGCCGCAGGGAAGCCGUUAAGUUUGCCGCCUGGGGAGUACGGUCGCAAGACUGAAACUUAAAGGAAUUGGCGGGGGAGCAC